This is an unclassified non-coding RNA of Pongo abelii (Sumatran orangutan), 148 nucleotides long. It matches the Rfam family "Metazoan signal recognition particle RNA". Rfam says of the family: The signal recognition particle (SRP) is a universally conserved ribonucleoprotein. It is involved in the co-translational targeting of proteins to membranes. The eukaryotic SRP consists of a 300-nucleotide 7S RNA and six proteins: SRPs 72, 68, 54, 19, 14, and 9. NCBI's taxonomy places the organism in Eukaryota, Metazoa, Chordata, Mammalia, Primates, Hominidae. The record is from Ensembl.
GCUGGGCAUGGUGGUGCAUGCCUGUAAUUCCAGCUACUGGGGAGGCUGAGACAUGAGAAUCACUUGAACCCAGGAGGUGGAGGUUGCAGUGAGCCAAGAUUGUGCCACUGCACUCCAGCCUGGGUAACAGAGCGAGACUCUGUCUCAA